RNAcentral lists this ribosomal RNA (2892 nucleotides) under Escherichia coli. Its description in RNAcentral is "partial 23S ribosomal RNA". It matches the Rfam family "Bacterial large subunit ribosomal RNA". Lineage: Bacteria; Pseudomonadati; Pseudomonadota; Gammaproteobacteria; Enterobacterales; Enterobacteriaceae. The record is from RNAcentral.
GCCCUGGCAGUCAGAGGCGAUGAAGGACGUGCUAAUCUGCGAUAAGCGUCGGUAAGGUGAUAUGAACCGUUAUAACCGGCGAUUUCCGAAUGGGGAAACCCAGUGUGUUUCGACACACUAUCAUUAACUGAAUCCAUAGGUUAAUGAGGCGAACCGGGGGAACUGAAACAUCUAAGUACCCCGAGGAAAAGAAAUCAACCGAGAUUCCCCCAGUAGCGGCGAGCGAACGGGGAGCAGCCCAGAGCCUGAAUCAGUGUGUGUGUUAGUGGAAGCGUCUGGAAAGGCGCGCGAUACAGGGUGACAGCCCCGUACACAAAAAUGCACAUACUGUGAGCUCGAUGAGUAGGGCGGGACACGUGGUAUCCUGUCUGAAUAUGGGGGGACCAUCCUCCAAGGCUAAAUACUCCUGACUGACCGAUAGUGAACCAGUACCGUGAGGGAAAGGCGAAAAGAACCCCGGCGAGGGGAGUGAAAAAGAACCUGAAACCGUGUACGUACAAGCAGUGGGAGCACGCUUAGGCGUGUGACUGCGUACCUUUUGUAUAAUGGGUCAGCGACUUAUAUUCUGUAGCAAGGUUAACCGAAUAGGGGAGCCGAAGGGAAACCGAGUCUUAACUGGGCGUUAAGUUGCAGGGUAUAGACCCGAAACCCGGUGAUCUAGCCAUGGGCAGGUUGAAGGUUGGGUAACACUAACUGGAGGACCGAACCGACUAAUGUUGAAAAAUUAGCGGAUGACUUGUGGCUGGGGGUGAAAGGCCAAUCAAACCGGGAGAUAGCUGGUUCUCCCCGAAAGCUAUUUAGGUAGCGCCUCGUGAAUUCAUCUCCGGGGGUAGAGCACUGUUUCGGCAAGGGGGUCAUCCCGACUUACCAACCCGAUGCAAACUGCGAAUACCGGAGAAUGUUAUCACGGGAGACACACGGCGGGUGCUAACGUCCGUCGUGAAGAGGGAAACAACCCAGACCGCCAGCUAAGGUCCCAAAGUCAUGGUUAAGUGGGAAACGAUGUGGGAAGGCCCAGACAGCCAGGAUGUUGGCUUAGAAGCAGCCAUCAUUUAAAGAAAGCGUAAUAGCUCACUGGUCGAGUCGGCCUGCGCGGAAGAUGUAACGGGGCUAAACCAUGCACCGAAGCUGCGGCAGCGACGCUGAUGCGUUGUUGGGUAGGGGAGCGUUCUGUAAGCCUGCGAAGGUGUGCUGUGAGGCAUGCUGGAGGUAUCAGAAGUGCGAAUGCUGACAUAAGUAACGAUAAAGCGGGUGAAAAGCCCGCUCGCCGGAAGACCAAGGGUUCCUGUCCAACGUUAAUCGGGGCAGGGUGAGUCGACCCCUAAGGCGAGGCCGAAAGGCGUAGUCGAUGGGAAACAGGUUAAUAUUCCUGUACUUGGUGUUACUGCGAAGGGGGGACGGAGAAGGCUAUGUUGGCCGGGCGACGGUUGUCCCGGUUUAAGCGUGUAGGCUGGUUUUCCAGGCAAAUCCGGAAAAUCAAGGCUGAGGCGUGAUGACGAGGCACUACGGUGCUGAAGCAACAAAUGCCCUGCUUCCAGGAAAAGCCUCUAAGCAUCAGGUAACAUCAAAUCGUACCCCAAACCGACACAGGUGGUCAGGUAGAGAAUACCAAGGCGCUUGAGAGAACUCGGGUGAAGGAACUAGGCAAAAUGGUGCCGUAACUUCGGGAGAAGGCACGCUGAUAUGUAGGUGAAGCGACUUGCUCGUGGAGCUGAAAUCAGUCGAAGAUACCAGCUGGCUGCAACUGUUUAUUAAAAACACAGCACUGUGCAAACACGAAAGUGGACGUAUACGGUGUGACGCCUGCCCGGUGCCGGAAGGUUAAUUGAUGGGGUCAGCGCAAGCGAAGCUCUUGAUCGAAGCCCCGGUAAACGGCGGCCGUAACUAUAACGGUCCUAAGGUAGCGAAAUUCCUUGUCGGGUAAGUUCCGACCUGCACGAAUGGCGUAAUGAUGGCCAGGCUGUCUCCACCCGAGACUCAGUGAAAUUGAACUCGCUGUGAAGAUGCAGUGUACCCGCGGCAAGACGGAAAGACCCCGUGAACCUUUACUAUAGCUUGACACUGAACAUUGAGCCUUGAUGUGUAGGAUAGGUGGGAGGCUUUGAAGUGUGGACGCCAGUCUGCAUGGAGCCGACCUUGAAAUACCACCCUUUAAUGUUUGAUGUUCUAACGUUGACCCGUGAUCCGGGUUGCGGACAGUGUCUGGUGGGUAGUUUGACUGGGGCGGUCUCCUCCUAAAGAGUAACGGAGGAGCACGAAGGUUGGCUAAUCCUGGUCGGACAUCAGGAGGUUAGUGCAAUGGCAUAAGCCAGCUUGACUGCGAGCGUGACGGCGCGAGCAGGUGCGAAAGCAGGUCAUAGUGAUCCGGUGGUUCUGAAUGGAAGGGCCAUCGCUCAACGGAUAAAAGGUACUCCGGGGAUAACAGGCUGAUACCGCCCAAGAGUUCAUAUCGACGGCGGUGUUUGGCACCUCGAUGUCGGCUCAUCACAUCCUGGGGCUGAAGUAGGUCCCAAGGGUAUGGCUGUUCGCCAUUUAAAGUGGUACGCGAGCUGGGUUUAGAACGUCGUGAGACAGUUCGGUCCCUAUCUGCCGUGGGCGCUGGAGAACUGAGGGGGGCUGCUCCUAGUACGAGAGGACCGGAGUGGACGCAUCACUGGUGUUCGGGUUGUCAUGCCAAUGGCACUGCCCGGUAGCUAAAUGCGGAAGAGAUAAGUGCUGAAAGCAUCUAAGCACGAAACUUGCCCCGAGAUGAGUUCUCCCUGACUCCUUGAGAGUCCUGAAGGAACGUUGAAGACGACGACGUUGAUAGGCCGGGUGUGUAAGCGCAGCGAUGCGUUGAGCUAACCGGUACUAAUGAACCGUGAGGCUUAACCUUACAACGCCGAAGCUGUU